GCGGCUGACUGAGCAGCGCGGGCCUGAAACAAAGGAGUAAAAAUAGCACCGGCAGGGCGGGGGCACUGGAGCACGCCGCGGCCGUUCGGCUACGAGCCACGCCGGAGUACGGUGGCCGGCGAGGGCUGUUAGUCUUCUCGCGGGGGGAGGGGGCGAAUGACUCACAGGGGUAACCGCCCUCCCCCUUAACUCACCAUCCGCCACGAACGCCCGUGCACAUGCGCAGUAGACCGAGAUAUUUAUAGCCGUCUCUUGCGGGAUGAUGUAACGCGGGGAGCCGCUGAGCGGGGCUGUGCGUGCUGCGUCACCGGCUCGCUGCCUCGAGCUGUUUACAGCAGGACUGUCGGUUACCUAGCAACGCAGACUGACACGCUGAGGAGUAGGGCGGGAAGAAGAGCGUCGCCCGGGGCCCUCCCCACCGCAGGAGCAUCGACACGGGCCCCAGCCCGAGGGGACUUCUUAAUCAGUGCAGGCUGAAUAGAGACUGAGACAGCCCUAGGUUUCUGUUGGAUGGAGCUGAAGGUCGCAGCAUACCCUAGAUGGAAGAACACAAAGGAAAGUAUGUUGCAUAGUGAAAUGGAACUGUGACUCAGCUUUUUCCAAAAGUAUCAUUCAGUUGUUUGUUUGUGCUACUUCCUCUUGGCUAGCAAGAAAUGC
Long non-coding RNA from Mauremys reevesii (Reeves's turtle), 657 nucleotides. RefSeq lists it as uncharacterized. Lineage: Eukaryota; Metazoa; Chordata; Testudines; Geoemydidae. The transcript has 3 exons. The record is from RefSeq and is a predicted model, not a curated record.